Molecule: ribosomal RNA, 466 nt
Filed under: uncultured Desulfobulbus sp.
Lineage: Bacteria; Pseudomonadati; Thermodesulfobacteriota; Desulfobulbia; Desulfobulbales; Desulfobulbaceae
Description: bacterial SSU rRNA
Rfam family: Bacterial small subunit ribosomal RNA
Source: RNAcentral
CCUACGGGUGGCUGCAGUGAGGAAUAUUGCGCAAUGGGGGCAACCCUGACGCAGCGACGCCGCGUGAGUGAGGAAGGCCUUCGGGUCGUAAAGCUCUGUCAAAGGGGAAGAAGUGCAUGGUGGUUAAUAUCUGUCAUGUUUGACGGUACCCUUAAAGGAAGCACCGGCUAACUCCGUGCCAGCAGCCGCGGUAAUACGGAGGGUGCAAGCGUUGUUCGGAAUCACUGGGCGUAAAGGGCGCGCAGGCGGUUUGAAUAGUCAGAUGUGAAAGCCCACGGCUUAACCGUGGAAGUGCAUUUGAAACUGUCAGACUUGAGUACCAGAGGGGAAAGUGGAAUUCCCGGUGUAGAGGUGAAAUUCGUAGAUAUCGGGAGGAAUACCGGUGGCGAAGGCGACUUUCUGGCUGGAUACUGACGCUGAGGCGCGAAAGCGUGGGGAGCAAACAGGCUUAGAUACCCCAGUAGUC